This 254-nucleotide ribosomal RNA is filed under the name uncultured bacterium. Its description in RNAcentral is "partial 16S ribosomal RNA". It matches the Rfam family "Bacterial small subunit ribosomal RNA", at positions 524 to 776 of the family's 1533-position model. The record is from RNAcentral.
UACGUAGGGGGCAAGCGUUGUCCGGAUUUAUUGGGCGUAAAGAGCUCGUAGGCGGUUUGGUAAGUCAGGUGUGAAAUCUCCACGCUCAACGUGGAGGGGCCAUUCGAUACUGCCGUGACUCGAGUCCGGUAGGGGAGUGUGGAAUUCCCGGUGUAGCGGUGAAAUGCGCAGAGAUCGGGAGGAACACCCGUAGCGAAGGCGGCACUCUGGGCCGGUACUGACGCUGAGACGCGAAAGCGUGGGGAGCAAACAGG